CUAAUCUCACUCCCCAUUCUUGUUCCUGCUUCUAAGGAAGAAGAGGCAAGAUGACUCUGAGAGUCAGAGAGAGGAUUGGUCUCUUACAGAGCCACCUGUUUGGGACCAGACCCUCAAGGGUCUCUAGCAGUGCUGCUCUCAGAAGUGGGAGGAUGUUGAUGAGAUCAUUCACACCUCAGAGAUGAGUUCACAGGAAGAUCUCACCACAAAACUAAGCAAACAACCUGUGUCUCCUUACUCCUAGUCUGGCUUCUUCUACUCAUAGAAGCAGCUGAUUGGUACAAAAAAGUUCAACCUCUCUUUCUCUAGCUUUAAGGAAUAUAAUAGUAUCUGCCUGAAGAAAAUAGAUGCUUCCAGGGACUGGAUGGUGUCACAGCUGGUUGAACAAACAUUUUACAAUGCACAGGACCCAGGUUUGAGGCCCCA
Molecule: long non-coding RNA, 426 nt
Organism: Erinaceus europaeus (western European hedgehog)
Lineage: Eukaryota; Metazoa; Chordata; Mammalia; Eulipotyphla; Erinaceidae
Exons: 3
Source: RefSeq, a predicted model, not a curated record